ACGGGUGAGUAAUGCCUAGGAAUCUGCCUGGUAGUGGGGGACAACGUUUCGAAAGGAACGCUAAUACCGCAUACGUCCUACGGGAGAAAGCAGGGGACCUUCGGGCCUUGCGCUAUCAGAUGAGCCUAGGUCGGAUUAGCUAGUUGGUGAGGUAAUGGCUCACCAAGGCGACGAUCCGUAACUGGUCUGAGAGGAUGAUCAGUCACACUGGAACUGAGACACGGUCCAGACUCCUACGGGAGGCAGCAGUGGGGAAUAUUGGACAAUGGGCGAAAGCCUGAUCCAGCCAUGCCGCGUGUGUGAAGAAGGUCUUCGGAUUGUAAAGCACUUUAAGUUGGGAGGAAGGGUUGUAGAUUAAUACUCUGCAAUUUUGACGUUACCGACAGAAUAAGCACCGGCUAACUCUGUGCCAGCAGCCGCGGUAAUACAGAGGGUGCAAGCGUUAAUCGGAAUUACUGGGCGUAAAGCGCGCGUAGGUGGUUUGUUAAGUUGGAUGUGAAAGCCCCGGGCUCAACCUGGGAACUGCAUUCAAAACUGACAAGCUAGAGUAUGGUAGAGGGGUGGUGGAAUUUCCUGUGUAGCGG
This 584-nucleotide ribosomal RNA is filed under the name Pseudomonas sp. StRD418. RNAcentral describes it as "bacterial SSU rRNA". It matches the Rfam family "Bacterial small subunit ribosomal RNA", at positions 102 to 681 of the family's 1533-position model. The record is from RNAcentral. Lineage: Bacteria; Pseudomonadati; Pseudomonadota; Gammaproteobacteria; Pseudomonadales; Pseudomonadaceae.